AAUCUUACCUGGGGAGACAGCAGAAUGAAGGUCAAGCUGAAGACUUUACCAGACACGCUGAGAGGUGGUGCAUGGCCGUCGCCAGCUCGUGCCGUGAGAUGUCCUGUUAAGUCAGGUAACGAGCGAGACCCCUGCGUCUAGUUGCUACCAUUACUNNNNGGAGCAGNNNNGCGAANUAGNNGGANNNCCACAGUUAAUGUGGAGGAAGGAAGGGGCCACGGCAGGUCAGUAUGCCCCGAAACCCUAGGGCUACACGCGGGCUGCAAUGGUAUUGACAAUGUGUUCCGAAUCCGAAAGGAGGAGGCAAUCAUCA
This 313-nucleotide ribosomal RNA is filed under the name uncultured archaeon. RNAcentral's name for it is "partial 16S ribosomal RNA". It matches the Rfam family "Archaeal small subunit ribosomal RNA", at positions 922 to 1233 of the family's 1478-position model. The record is from RNAcentral.